GUUUGGGAGAAGGGGGUGGGAUUAUGGACAUUGGGGAGGGUAUGUGCUUUGGUGAGUGCUGUGAAGUGUGUAAACCUGGUGAUUCACAGACCUGUACCCCUGGGGAUAAAAAUAUAUGUUUAUAAAAAAUAAAAAAUUAAUAAAAAAAAAAGAAAAAAAGGAAUAAAGGUGGGUAAUAUGCUGAAAAAACAACAACAACAACAACAAAAAAGCUCUGACCCAGUAAAACCCCCGGCUAAUAACCUGUCAUUGUCUUUCUCUUCAUAGCUGAGAAUCUUGGUACGAAGGAGAGUUUGUUUUGAUUGAGAACCUUGCCUCUGUUCAUUCUUCAUGUGCAAUUGAUCACCACUCAGCAGUCUCCAUCACCCUGUGAGAUCCCUCAGGCCAGGUAAGCCCUGUCCCUCCCUGGUGCCCAGGCAACCACCCAUCAGCUUUCUGUCUCUACUGCCUGUCCUUUGUGAGUAUUUCACAGGGAAGCUGUCCGACAGGGCGGGUCUCUCAGGGGUACUUUCUUUCACUCAGCCUGUCCAUCCCUUCCUUCUAGGGCCACUGACAAUAGGUUCUUUCCACGCUGGGGCUACUGUGAGCAAGUUUGCUGUGUGCAAGCUUUUGCCUGGACGUACACCUGUCUGGAAAAUUGGCGCCCUUGUGACCUCCCUGUCCCUUGUCUGAUGUCUACCUUUUUGUAAUCCCUGCUCCAUCUUGCCCCGUCCCCGUCAAAGGCUCUUUCCCCCGGGGGGUCCCUUGCUGUUCCCUCUAGUGGGAGUAUCUCACCCUUUUCUGACCUCCCCUGACUCUGUUUCCUUUGUCGUGCUGGGCUGUACUUGACCUGCCUGUAAGUUAAAUGCUGUUCUAGAAAUUUUAAAUAAAAAUGUUUCCCGG
Molecule: long non-coding RNA, 882 nt
Filed under: Mustela putorius furo (domestic ferret)
Lineage: Eukaryota; Metazoa; Chordata; Mammalia; Carnivora; Mustelidae
Description: lncRNA (ENSMPUG00000026423.1)
Source: RNAcentral